GUGAAUCAUCGAAUCUUUGAACGCAUAUUGCACUCUCUGGUAUUCCGGAGAGUAUUUCUGUUUUAGGUUAAUUAAAAAUAAUCUUUAACCAAUUUUUUGGUCAAAGGAAAUGAGUUUUCCGCGUUUAUAGCGGUAGCUUGAAAUAAAUGUUCAAGUCUCAUUUUAGUCGAGACUCGUAAUAAUAUUAUUUCGCGAAAUCUUUAUUAUGUGACUAUCAAUUUUUGAUGCAUAUAAUUUUUGUUUGUAUACGAU
This 252-nucleotide unclassified non-coding RNA is filed under the name Ambisporaceae sp. RNAcentral describes it as "partial internal transcribed spacer 2". The stretch from base 1 to 71 matches the Rfam family "5.8S ribosomal RNA", at positions 84 to 154 of the family's 154-position model. The record is from RNAcentral. Lineage: Eukaryota; Fungi; Glomeromycota; Glomeromycetes; Archaeosporales; Ambisporaceae.